UACGGGGGGGGGCAAGCGUUGUUCGGAAUUACUGGGCGUAAAGGGCGCGUAGGCGGCCUUCUAAGUCGAACGUGAAAUCCCCGGGCUCAACCCGGGAACUGCGUCCGAUACUGGAAGGCUUGAAUCCGGGAGAGGGAUGCGGAAUUCCUGGUGUAGCGGUGGAAUGCGCAGAUAUCAGGAGGAACACCGGUGGCGAAGGCGGGAUCCUGGGCCAGUACUGACGCUGAGGAGCGAAAGCGUGGGGAGCAAACAGG
Molecule: ribosomal RNA, 254 nt
Filed under: uncultured bacterium
Lineage: Bacteria
Description: partial 16S ribosomal RNA
Rfam family: Bacterial small subunit ribosomal RNA
Source: RNAcentral